UGUCUGUUGUUAAGAUAAUAGGUGAAUUCUGCCCACUGCUGAGUGGUAAAGGGCUGCAGUAUUAUGACUGUAUAAAGGUAGCAUAAUCAUUAGGUUUUUAAUUGGAAGCUGGUAUGAACGGGUAAACAGGGAGAUAGUAUAUUUUAUGGAGGCGAUGAAAUUAAUAAUCAUGUGAAAAAGCAUGAGUUUUACUAUUAGACAAGAAGACCCUAAAAAUUUUAUUUUAUAUUUUAAGGGGUUGCAGUGGGGACUAUAUUAGUAUAUCUAACGAUGUGACGUUUGACUGGGGCGGUGUGUUUGGUAACAAAAUUAAGAUUUUAAUUUAUAUUUGGCGUGAAUUUGACCUGGGGGUCAGUUGAAUGGAAAAUUACUUUAGGGAUAACAGCGUAAUCAUCUUUGAGAGUUCCUAUUGACAAGAUGGUUUGCGACCUCGAUGUUGGAUUAGGAUGAGAGUUGGUGCAGA
This 463-nucleotide ribosomal RNA is filed under the name Hylomus namek. Its description in RNAcentral is "Hylomus sp. 1 ADN-2019 partial large subunit ribosomal RNA". It matches the Rfam family "Bacterial large subunit ribosomal RNA", at positions 1817 to 2562 of the family's 2925-position model. Lineage: Eukaryota; Metazoa; Arthropoda; Diplopoda; Polydesmida; Paradoxosomatidae. The record is from RNAcentral.